CAGCAGCCGCGGGAAUACAGAGGGUGCGAGCGUUAAUCGGAUUUACUGGGCGUAAAGCGUGCGUAGGCGGCUUCUUAAGUCGGAUGUGAAAUCCCUGAGCUUAACUUAGGAAUUGCAUUCGAUACUGGGAAGCUAGAGUAUGGGAGAGGAUGGUAGAAUUCCAGGUGUAGCGGUGAAAUGCGUAGAGAUCUGGAGGAAUACCGAUGGCGAAGGCAGCCAUCUGGCCUAAUACUGACGCUGAGGUACGAAAGCAUGGGGAGCAAACAGGAUUAGAUACCUCCGUAGUCCCUGUCUCUUAUAC
This 301-nucleotide ribosomal RNA is filed under the name uncultured bacterium. RNAcentral's name for it is "partial 16S ribosomal RNA". It matches the Rfam family "Bacterial small subunit ribosomal RNA", at positions 509 to 807 of the family's 1533-position model. The record is from RNAcentral.